CAUUUCAGCUUGCCGCCCAGAUUCGCUACCUUGUGAUCCACCGCCCAGAAGGGGCACCGAGUGGGCACCUCUCUGCAGAAGCAGCCUUGUUUGCAGAAGUGGAGGCCCUGGCCCCAACUUCUUCACUUCCUCUGUGAACAGAAGGCAUCGAGCGUUCUUUCCGGAAGUGGCCACCACCGAGAGCCCCAGCUGUCCUGGCCAUCUUGCAGCUCAGCACACUGUGAAUCAGAGUGUGACCCUGGCAGUAGGCAUCGGGGAAGCAACCCUCAAGUCAGAAGCUGCAGGCUCCAGGGAAAAAGCAAAGUGGGGGAGCCCCUUGGUUCACUACCAUUUAGAGGCCAGGUCCUGGAAGUUCUUCCCACGGUUUGCAAAGAGACUCUUGCUGUUCUUCCACGAACUUUUUCUUGGAAAAGAGGACUCGUGCUGGUACAAAGGACAGUAAGGAGCCAAGCUAUGCCUGAAGACCAUGAACCUCUCUUCUGAGCCCUGCAACAUUUCAGACUGGCUGAGGCCGGAAGCGACAGUGAAGGCCUCUGUAUCUGUGGUCACUUUCUCCUUUGGCACAUCCAUCACUAUCAUCAUCACCACAGUGUCACAGAAUUUGAAGCUGUGGAGACAGGGUCGUGAAUGACAGCUAAUGACGUGAGCAAUGCUGAAUUUCAUUGUGUGAAAAUCCUCUGCACUCACAGGGAAGGUUUAACGUGGGCCAGAUGCAGAAGGGCAGGGAGAGAGGAAGUUGUGGUUGAAAGCUACUUGCAUUAGUUGAGUGUUCUUAUAAAAGUGUUCUUUUCCCAUACAGAAAUGGUGCAACGGGACUGAGUUUAAGGAGUCAGAAAGUGUGGGUAUUUGGGCCAAAUGUUCAGAGAAAAUGGGACUUUGAAAACAGCCCUACAAAAAUAAAUCAUGGAACAAAACAAUGUGAAUCAUCUCAGAAUUCCCAAGGUCUUAUAAACUUUUCAUUCGCCAUAACUACCACCAUGUCAUUACUGCACAAAAUUACUCCUGGCUUCUAUGUAGACAAGCCACACAUACUCAGUGAUUAAAGAAUACCCUUGGAAAAGUCUGGAAAAGCAAAAAUAGAAAAGUAGUUCAUAACUGUCACCAAAAGAAGGACAUCCUAGACCUAAACCGUAACAACACACUAAUGAAUUUUAAGCCUUUUCUUCCUUGAAGGAGGCCAAAGGCUGUGGCUGGAAGUGCCUAUCCCAUGGCCAAGCAAAGACAUGCACACAGGGAGAGAAAACCGCAUCUUGCAGCGGUAGGAGUGGGAGGAGGAGGCCUGAGCACUUCCUGUGGACCAAGAGAUUAUGGGAAAGAGCUGGCCGUGGAGUGGUUGGAAAAGAUGUGUCCAAAAAGCCUCCUGCCAAGGAGAGGGCUCCUCGGCCAAAAAUGUCAGGAGGUCACCCUGGCAGCAGGGUAUGAAGAUGGAGGGAGUAGCACCUGGGCAGAGAAAAGGAUGCUCAAGGGCCCAGAGGGGUCGUAUGACAAGCUCGCCAACUGCUAAGGAAGCAGUCAUCACCGGAACCAGCCCUGCCCGGAAGAUGCACACAUCCACCUUGGAUAAGGAUGGCCUUUCCUGCACCUUCCAUCUCCCAACACUGGGGAGGAAGUGCCAGGCAAUGUGUGGUAGAGGGAGCUGAUUAGAAACCUUAAUUUCUCUGCAGUUUUAAUUCCCUCCUGUCAUGCAACAUGCUAUAUCCACACUCCACAUAACAUAUCCGUAAGAUUUGGGGAUUAAGACAAAGACAUCUUUUCAGGAGUAGGGGCGUUUUUCUGCCUAUCACAUUUAUUAAAAUGAGACUAUUCUUACUGAAAAGGAUCAAAGGACUCUUCUAAGAGUGACUGGACAAAAUGUGAGUUAAAAACCACAGUGGAAUAUUACUUCACAUCCACUUGGAUGGUUACCAUCAAAAAGAAACAAACGACUCAGAAAAAUAAGUGUUGGCAAGGUUAUCGAGAAAUUGGAAUAUUUGUGCCUGUUGGUAGGUUUAUACAUGGUACAACAACUAAGGAAAAUAGUGUGGAAGUUUGGCAGAAAAUAAAAAAUGGAACUGCCAUAUGACCUUGCAGUCUUAUUUCUAGAUAUAUAUAUCCAAAAAAUUGACAGCAGGGUUUUUUUUUGGGGGGGGGGGAUUGACAGAUUCUCUCCAUAUAGCUCAAGCUGGCCUUGAGCUUGGGAUCCUCCUGCUUCAGCCUCUUGAAUGCUGGGACUACAGGUGUAGGCCACCACGUCCAACUUGAAAGCAGAGUAUUGAACAGAUACUUGCACACCUGGAUAGAAGGUGGAAGCAACUUAAAUGUCCAUCACAGAUAAAUGGAUAAACAGAAGGUGGUAUAAACAUACAAUGGAAAAUUAUGCAGCCUUAAAAAGGAAAGAAAUUCUCUCACAAGCUACAACCUGGAUAAACCUUAAGGACAUUACCCUAAGUGAAAAAAAACAGCCACUAAAAAAGACAAAUAUCAUAUUAUUCCCCUUAUACGUGGUAUCUAAAGUAGUCACAUUCAUAAAAAAAGAAAGCGGAAUGGUGACUGCCAGGGGGUUUGGGAGAGGAGGCGAAAUGGAAUUGUUUAAUGGGUAGAGAAUUCAGUUUUUAAGAUGACAAAGUUCUGGAGAUCUCUUUCACAGCAAUAUGAAUACACUGAAUAUGAAUUCACUUACAACUGGCUAAGAUGGCAGAUGUUAUGUUACUUUUUUAAAACCACAGCUGGAAAAGAAAGAGUGUCUAGACAAAAAUGUGGGAUCUCAUCCAUGGGGAGGUAAAGAUUGAAUCCAGACAGGAUAUGAAUGGGCCAGAGAUAAAAUGAAGCUGUUUUCUGUUUCCUAGUGCAUUUGUCUCUUUCAGUAUAAAGGUCACCAAUUAAACAUAGACAAGACCACUCUUCAUUAUUAAGAGUUUAACUGUUAUAGUAGCAGAAAGCUAAUGAGAAUGUGGUAAAGAGAAAGACAUAGUGGCCUUUGCCAAAAAGCCCAUAGGAGCUGGUGUGCAAUUUUCUACAGUCCUGUCCCAUGGCACUGUAGAGGAGGCACGUAUUCAUGUGGAGGAGUACAGCUGAGUCAUUACAUGGGGGCAACCACCCUGGAAAGUAGUUCUGGUCUUUGGAGGACCUUGUGUAGUGAGAAAUAAGCUUUCAUUUUAAGACCCUGAGAUUUGGGGGUUGAUUUUUAUUGGAGCAUAACCCAGCCUAUCCUGAUAAAUGUUCUCCAGCAUGCAGAUUAACAAAACAAUUGUCAGUGGCUCAAAGACAAUCCUAGAAACUACCAUAUGUCCUUCUAAAAGAUGGCUGCUUUAUCAGUGUUCCCAAAGGCAAAGAGCAAAGUUGGCAAAUCAGUGCCCACCAGCCAAAUCCAGCUCAUUGUAUGUUUUUGUAUAGUGUGGUAGUCAGCUUUCCAUUACUGGGACAAAAUACCUGAGGAUAACAAAUUAAAGAAGGAAAGAUUUACUUCAGAUCAGUUUCAGAGGUUUUAGGGCACAGUUGGGUCUCGCCAUUGGUUUUAGGCCUGUAGUGAGGAAGAAACAUCAUGGCGGAUGGGUGUGGUGGAGGAGACUUGCUCACCUCAGGGCAGGCAGGCAGGACAGGGUAGGCAAGGGCCAGACACAGUUCCCAAGGUCACACCCCCACCCUUCAGUUAGGCCCCAUCUCCUAAAUUUCCAUCACCUCCCAGUAACACCAUCAAAUUACGAAUCCACAGAUAGAUUAAUACACUGGGGAAAUUAAAGUCCCCACAACCCAAUCGCCUUCAAAAGCCCUGCCUCUAACAUUGCUGCACUGGGGACCGAGAUUUCAACCCACGAGCCUUUGGGGAACAUUCAAGAUCCAAACAUAACAUAUUACCUGUGGGUAAGAAUAGUUUUUACAUUUUUAAAUAGACGGAAAAAAUUCAAAAGAAUAAUAGGGCAUGCCAUGAGAAAACGAUAUGAAAUUCAAAUUUCUCUGUUCAUAAAUAAAAUUGGGGAGAACAUACUCAUGCCCAUUCACACCAGGAAAAUUUCGUGACUUAGUAAGAUUUUGUUAAAAAAAAAAAAAAAAAGAAAGAAAGAAAGAAGGUAAACAGAAUGCAACUUAUGAAGGCCCUGGAUUCAAUCAAGGGGGGGGGGAGGAAAGACGGAAGGAGAGAAAGAAAAAGAAAGAAGAGAAAGAAAAAGUAAGAAAAAGUGUCGUAGUUUAACUUACAGUGUUUCCUCAUAUACAAUCUGUGAUGUUUUAGACACAAUAAAAUAUGGUAGCCUAAAAGAAACAACUGUCUGCAGAAGCCUUUGGAAGACUACCGAUGGUUAGCAGUUCGGAGUCAUUAGCUCUCUCUUGCACUUAUUCCACCCCACACAGCUGGCAAAAUAAACGUAACAACUGGACCGUGAGUUCUUCCAUGUGGUUCUGGCAGCUGCUUGAGCAGCAGGAUCCGUGGAGUCUCAAGCCUGGGUGUUCUUGGAUCUCAUUCUGGAAGUUCCUGAGCAGCUGGGCUGCAGCAGGCAUUGGGGGGGGGGGGGGGUGCCAUUCCCAAUCUUUCUGAAAAGGGCUCCUUUCCACCAAGAAGGGUAAUCAGAGCCAAGGAGGUCUAGAUUUAGCUCAGUGGUUCCACCACCUGCCUCACAAGCGCAAGGUUCCGAGUUUGAUCCCUGGUACCAAAAAAAAAAAAAAAGAGAGAGAAAAGAAUUUAUCACUCAUUCAUUCACUAAAUAAAACCCCUAAAUCAAGACAGGCUGUGUGCUUUCUCUUUUUUAAAAUCCUCAACUACUCUGGCAAUUUACUCUUCAAUGAGAGAAAAAUGAGGUGUCAAUUAAUUCUAAAUCAUUACCCUAAGUUAAAGAAGAGCGCAUGAUGAUACACUGCUUCUCCCACGGACUGCUUUUUUCAAUGGGCAGGAAAAGUCUAGAAAAUGCAUCUGUUAUUUUGGAAAGUGCAAAUAAUGAGAAUGAUCAAUUUAGGGGACCAUUCGGUGGUGGGACCAAAAUGUAGGGUUAAUUUAUAGUGGAAGUUGGGAUCAAACAUCUUGAUUAUGAAGUUUUCUUGGUCAGGUUUGUUUUUAUUAAAUACUUUUAAAAUUUAAUUAAUUAACUAAUACUUGUUUCUUUUUUAUUAGUGUAUGCUUGCAGUGC
Molecule: long non-coding RNA, 5096 nt
Organism: Heterocephalus glaber (naked mole-rat)
Lineage: Eukaryota; Metazoa; Chordata; Mammalia; Rodentia; Bathyergidae
Source: Ensembl